GACGAACGCUGGCGGCGUGCCCAAUACAUGCAAGUAGAACGCUGAAGGAGGAGCUUGCUUCUCUGGAUGAGUUGCGAACGGGUGAGUAACGCGUAGGUAACCUGCCUGGUAGCGGGGGAUAACUAUUGGAAACGAUAGCUAAUACCGCAUAAUAGUAGAUGUUGCAUGACAUUUGCUUAAAAGGUGCAAUUGCAUCACUACCAGAUGGACCUGCGUUGUAUUAGCUAGUUGGUGGGGUAACGGCUCACCAAGGCGACGAUACAUAGCCGACCUGAGAGGGUGAUCGGCCACACUGGGACUGAGACACGGCCCAGACUCCUACGGGAGGCAGCAGUAGGGAAUCUUCGGCAAUGGACGGAAGUCUGACCGAGCAACGCCGCGUGAGUGAAGAAGGUUUUCGGAUCGUAAAGCUCUGUUGUAAGAGAAGAACGAGUGUGAGAGUGGAAAGUUCACACUGUGACGGUAUCUUACCAGAAAGAGACGGCUAACUACGUG
This 495-nucleotide ribosomal RNA is filed under the name uncultured bacterium. RNAcentral's name for it is "partial 16S ribosomal RNA". It matches the Rfam family "Bacterial small subunit ribosomal RNA", at positions 28 to 507 of the family's 1533-position model. The record is from RNAcentral.